CAGAAGAUCGCUCAGCGCUGCACUGCUGAUGGAGGUUCACGAGCUCUGAGUGAGAGAUGUGAAGCGACUCGACUGUACGAGCUCAAAGUCGUAGCUGAGCGUUUUAGAACAACAAUCUUCAACUGGGAUGAAGAGGCGUUUGUUGUCACUCGUUCACACCUGCAGGUUUUGGUGAAUCUGUGUGAGUGUGGGUUGGAGGUUCAGAGCAUCACUGCAGCCAUUGAUUAUGUUGGUCAACGGAUUCGGUUCUAAAGGAGACACCAGACGCUGUGGAGUGACAGCAGAUUUUAUUCUUCUUUAAUCUUUCAUUUAGAUUUUUCUUAACUAUCCAUAGAUGCAUCCCAUAAUUAUAUCUUUUAGAACACAGAUCUAAUGAUGUUUAGGAGCAUGUUACAAUGAGUCAAU
Long non-coding RNA from Silurus meridionalis, 405 nucleotides. RefSeq lists it as uncharacterized. The transcript is spliced from 3 exons. The record is from RefSeq and is a predicted model, not a curated record. NCBI's taxonomy places the organism in Eukaryota, Metazoa, Chordata, Actinopteri, Siluriformes, Siluridae.